Molecule: transfer RNA, 134 nt
Filed under: Paraphoma chrysanthemicola
Lineage: Eukaryota; Fungi; Ascomycota; Dothideomycetes; Pleosporales; Phaeosphaeriaceae
Description: tRNA-Thr
Rfam family: tRNA
About the family: Transfer RNA (tRNA) molecules are approximately 80 nucleotides in length. Their secondary structure includes four short double-helical elements and three loops (D, anti-codon, and T loops).
Source: RNAcentral
GGCCGUUUGGUCUAGUCGUAUGAUUCCUGCUUUGUAAGAAACACCAGCAUCGCUUUCACAUAAUUUCGUCUAACAGUACCAGGGGUAUCUAUCUUGAAUGCAGGAGGUCCAGGGUUCAAUUCCCUGAACGGCCC